UGCAUGAAUGAAAGGGCCCUUGUCCUCUGU
This 30-nucleotide non-coding RNA is filed under the name Mus musculus (house mouse). Lineage: Eukaryota; Metazoa; Chordata; Mammalia; Rodentia; Muridae. The record is from RNAcentral.